This 403-nucleotide ribosomal RNA is filed under the name Bradyrhizobiaceae bacterium Ellin7094. RNAcentral's name for it is "bacterial SSU rRNA". It matches the Rfam family "Bacterial small subunit ribosomal RNA", at positions 29 to 457 of the family's 1533-position model. Lineage: Bacteria; Pseudomonadati; Pseudomonadota; Alphaproteobacteria; Hyphomicrobiales; Nitrobacteraceae. The record is from RNAcentral.
AGCGAACGCUGGCGGCAGGCUUAACACAUGCAAGUCGAGCGGGCGUAGCAAUACGUCAGCGGCAGACGGGUGAGUAACGCGUGGGAACAUACCUUUUGGUUCGGAACAACACAGGGAAACUUGUGCUAAUACCGGAUAAGCCCUUACGGGGAAAGAUUUAUCGCCGAAAGAUUGGCCCGCGUCUGAUUAGCUAGUUGGUGAGGUAACGGCUCACCAAGGCGACGAUCAGUAGCUGGUCUGAGAGGAUGAUCAGCCACAUUGGGACUGAGACACGGCCCAAACUCCUACGGGAGGCAGCAGUGGGGAAUAUUGGACAAUGGGCGCAAGCCUGAUCCAGCCAUGCCGCGUGAGUGAUGAAGGCCCUAGGGUUGUAAAGCUCUUUUGUGCGGGAAGAUAAUGACGG